ACCGGUAGUGGCUCGAGAGAAGAGAGUGCAGGGACACCUACCUCCCAUGGUUCAUGCCAAGGUAGUCCUUUCCCUGCAAAUGAAUCUUCCCAUCAGAAUGAGUUGGUUAAUUCACCUACGCAGGAGUCGUCUGUAAAAAUUGGUGGCUCUUCAGAACCAGCUCGUCCGACCACAGGAGAAAUCAAUUUAUCCACUGCAUUCCUAAUGCCUGGGCCUUCUCAGAAUGACUUGGUUAAUUCACCUACACAGGAGUCGCCUGUAAAAGUGGAUGGCUCUUCAGAACCAGCUCGUCAGGCCACGGGAGAAAUCAAUUUAUCCACUGCAUUCCUAUUGCCUGGGCCUUAUAUUCCAGAACACACCCAGCAACUAUUUGGGGGAAUGCUAGUUGAGGAUGCAGGGAGUUCACAUGAUCUGAGAAAUCUUUGUCCGGCUGGAGAUGCUAUGUUUGAUGACCGUGUCCCUGAAUACAGUUGGACGAACCCACCGUGUUCAAAUGGAAUUGCUAAGGAUCAGGUUUCUCUUCCUGCUGAGAAUAUGCCUGAAUACAGUUGGAUGAACCCACCAUGUUCAAAUGGAAUCGCUAAGGAUCAGGUUUCUCUUCCUGCAGAGAGUAUGCCACAGUUUUCUACCAGGCCUGAAGUAACAUCUGUUACAAUAAAAGCGACGUAUAGGGAAGACAUCAUAAGAUUUCGACUUCUUUUGAGUUAUGGUCUAUUUAAGUUGAAGGAGGAAGUAUCCAAGAGGCUAAAGUUAGAGGUUGGGACUUUCGAUAUCAGGUACCUCGAUGAUGACCAUGAGUGGGUUUUAAUCACGUGUGAUGCAGACCUGCAGGAAUGUGUCGAUAUCUCAAGAUCAUCGGGCAGCAACGUAGUGAGGUUGUUGGUUCAUGAUAUAAUGCCCAACCUUGGGAGCUCCUGCGAGAGCUCAGGUGCAUGAUUUAGAAUUAGGUUGUAAAUAUAUAAAACUAGUAAAAAUCAUUCUUGUAGUGCUUAGGGUUUUGUCCAUGUGGAGUGUAGGUUUUGGGUUUUGGCAGCUUAUCUGAAAUUGUAGAAAGUUUUCCCUUUUAAAUGUAUUCUUGUUGUAAGCCUAGGAAAAUAAGUUUUUGCUUUUGUUGGUGUAGCUUCCACCUUAUUUUUAGUUUUAUUUUUCAAUUGUAUUCUUGUUGUAAGCCUAAGGCUAUAAGUUUUUGUUUAUGUUGUUGCAUCUUCCACCUCUUGUUUGUUCACUAUGCAAAUUCUAUGUUUCCAUUUGAUAUGUUUUUAUAUG
This 1266-nucleotide long non-coding RNA is filed under the name Nicotiana benthamiana. Its description in RNAcentral is "long non-coding RNA (NBEN_LNC021128)". Lineage: Eukaryota; Viridiplantae; Streptophyta; Magnoliopsida; Solanales; Solanaceae. The record is from RNAcentral.